This 375-nucleotide ribosomal RNA is filed under the name uncultured organism. RNAcentral describes it as "partial 16S ribosomal RNA". It matches the Rfam family "Bacterial small subunit ribosomal RNA", at positions 527 to 896 of the family's 1533-position model. The record is from RNAcentral.
GUAGGGGGCGAGCGUUGUCCGGAUUUAUUGGGCGUAAAGAGCUCGUAGGCGGCUCAGCAAGUCGGCCGUGAAAGCCUGAGGCUCAACCUCAGGACGCCGGUCGAAACUGCUGUGGCUAGGGUCCGGUAGAGGAGAGUGGGAUUCCCGGUGUAGCGGUGAAAUGCGCAGAUAUCGGGAGGAACACCAGUAGCGAAGGCGGCUCUCUGGGCCGGUACCGACGCUGAGGAGCGAAAGCUAGGGGAGCAAACAGGGAUUAGAUACCCUGGUAGUCCUAGCCGUAAACGUUGGGCACUAGGUGUGGCGGAGUCAUUGACAUCUGCCGUGCCGAAGCUAACGCAUUAAGUGCCCCCGCCUGGGAGUACGGUCGCAAGGCUA